CCUACGGGGGGCAGCAGUCGGGAAUAGUGGGCAAUGGAGGAAACUCUGACCCAGCAAUACCGCGUGAAGGAUGAAGGUUUUCGGAUUGUAAACUUCUGUUAGAAAGGAAGAAAAAAAUGACGGUACUGUAUAAGUAAGCCGCGGCAAACUCUGUGCCAGCAGCCGCGGUGAUACAUAGGGGGCAAGCGUUGUCCGGAAUGACUGGGUGUAAAGGGUGUGGAGGUGGCUUAUUAAGUUAGAGGUGAAAGCCCGCCGCUCAACUUCGGAACUGCCUUUAAAACUGGUUGGCUUGUGUGUGGGAGCGGUUAGUGCAACUCCUAGUGUAGCGGUGGAAUGCGUAGAUAUUAGGAAGAACAUCAGAGGCGAAGGCGACUCACUUGAACAUUCCUGCCACUGUCCCAC
Molecule: ribosomal RNA, 402 nt
Filed under: uncultured bacterium
Lineage: Bacteria
Description: partial 16S ribosomal RNA
Rfam family: Bacterial small subunit ribosomal RNA
Source: RNAcentral